CCCGCAGGCGGGAUGGUGCGUUUGCUGUGACAGCGCGGGGCUAAACUCCGCGAGGGUAGCAAAGACGGCCGUUCUUGAGGGCCAGAGAGGGACCUGGAAGUCCGGGUGGAGCGGUGAAAUGCGUAGAGAUCCGGAGGAACACCGAAAGCGAAGGCGGGGUCCUGGCUGGCACCUGACGCUCGUGGGCGAAAGCUAGGGGAGCGAACGGGAUUAGAUACCCCGGUAGUCCUAGCCGUAAACGAUGACCACUAGGUGUGCGACGUAUCGACCCGUUGCGUGCCGGAGGCAACCCAUUAAGUGGUCCGCCUGGGGAGUACGGUCGCAAGAUUAAA
RNAcentral lists this ribosomal RNA (332 nucleotides) under uncultured bacterium. RNAcentral describes it as "bacterial SSU rRNA". It matches the Rfam family "Bacterial small subunit ribosomal RNA", at positions 568 to 898 of the family's 1533-position model. The record is from RNAcentral.